RNAcentral lists this ribosomal RNA (523 nucleotides) under uncultured bacterium. Its description in RNAcentral is "partial 16S ribosomal RNA". It matches the Rfam family "Bacterial small subunit ribosomal RNA", at positions 28 to 523 of the family's 1533-position model. The record is from RNAcentral.
GACGAACGCUGGCGGCGUGCCUAAUACAUGCAAGUCGAGCGCAAGAAGCUGGCGGAACUCUUCGGAGGGAAGGCAGUGGAAUGAGCGGCGGACGGGUGAGUAACACGUAAGGAACCUGCCUCAAGGAUUGGGAUAACUCCGAGAAAUCGGAGCUAAUACCGGGUAGUUCAUUGGGCCGCAUGGUCCGGUGAUGAAAGGCGCUUCGGCGUCACCUUGAGAUGGCCUUGCGGUGCAUUAGCUAGUUGGUGGGGUAACGGCCCACCAAGGCGACGAUGCAUAGGCGACCUGAGAGGGUGAUCGGCCACACUGGGACUGAGACACGGCCCAGACUCCUACGGGAGGCAGCAGUAGGGAAUCUUCCACAAUGGACGAAAGUCUGAUGGAGCAACGCCGCGUGAGUGAUAAAGGUUUUCGGAUCGUAAAACUCUGUUGUAGGGAAGAACACGUACGAGAGGUAAUGCUCGUACCUUGACGGUACCUUACGAGAAAGCCACGGCUAACUACGUGCCAGCCGCCGCCGUAA